Molecule: long non-coding RNA, 808 nt
Filed under: Sus scrofa (pig)
Lineage: Eukaryota; Metazoa; Chordata; Mammalia; Artiodactyla; Suidae
Description: lncRNA (ENSSSCG00070000434.1)
Source: RNAcentral
CCACCACCCGCUCUCCAGAUGAGGAAAGAGGCCUCCGAGGUGCCCAGCCCUGGUACAGUCAGACAAGGUAGCCAUUCUCCCCUCUCCGUGCGGUUGGAAGACCUCCUUUCCUGGCUGGCCCUGCCUGGCGGGCAUCAGUGUGUGGGCUGUCUCGACUGAGCUGCCCUUUCCGCCUGGAGAUCUGGGGUGAGCCCCCCUGCCCUUGCUGACUUCCACGAUACCCCCUCUUGGAAUCACUGAAGGAGCCAAAUUUCAAAGGCUCAGGAUGCUCCGUUGAUUUUCGAUGCAGAAGCCAUCUGGACCGUGCCCCGGACCAGUGUUCUGGGUUUACUUUGACCCUGACUGUCCCACUGUUGGACACUAGGUGCCAUGUCUAGUUGGGUUCGUCUGGUCACCAGAGCUGAACAGAACUAGCCAGGCCUGGGGGUGGAUGUCUUUGCCACUCCCUCAGGUGGCGGCUGGGAAGCGUGCUUUCCCAGGGUGGUUGCGCUUGUGGGGCACCGGCUCUCAGUGAGCUGGGCGUGCAGGCUUGCCUGCUCCCUGCCCACAGGGGCGUGGUGUGAGCCCCAGGACUGUGACUUGCUAGGGGCGGGGUGGAAGAGGUGAUGAAGGGGAUGGGACGCAGCCCAGGACUCAGAGGGUGGAUCCAGGGUAUUUGAGAUGGCACUGGGUUAUCUGGAGCUCUGAGUCAGUGACAGAUCUGGGAGCGCAGGCAGGCCCCUCAUUGCCCAGCCCUGGGGAGCUGUCGGUGGGCCAAAGGACAUAGGAGAGAGGGGGUGGGAAGGGAGGCACUGGGAGCCCCCUCACC